Molecule: ribosomal RNA, 433 nt
Filed under: uncultured eukaryote
Lineage: Eukaryota
Description: bacterial SSU rRNA
Rfam family: Eukaryotic small subunit ribosomal RNA
Source: RNAcentral
ACACGGUAAGGAUUGACGGACUGAAGGCUCUUUCUCGAUUCCGUGGAAAGUGGUGCAUGGCCGUUUUUGGUUGGUGGAUCGAUCCGUCUGGUUAAUUCCGUUAACGAACGAGACCUCGGCACUCCGAAUAGCGCGGCGGACGUCGCGGCCUCCGGGCCGUCUUCCGCACGAGCUUCUUAGAGGGACCGUCCCCCGCCGGGGAAGGAGGUGCGAGGCAACGACAGGUCUGUGAUGCCCUUAGAUGUUCUGGGCCGCACGCGCAUUACACUGACGCGUCCAACGGGUGACUCCCGACCCGAAGGGGCCGGGGAAUCCGCAAGGCGCGUCGUGAUGGGGAUUGAACGUUGCAAUUGUUGUUCACGAACGAGGAAUUCCUAGUAGGCGCGGGUCAUCAACCCGCGCCGAUUACGUCCCUGCCCUUUGUACACACCGC